This 1906-nucleotide unclassified non-coding RNA is filed under the name Hevea brasiliensis (rubber tree). The record is from RNAcentral. Lineage: Eukaryota; Viridiplantae; Streptophyta; Magnoliopsida; Malpighiales; Euphorbiaceae.
GUAUGUAUUCCAGAGUUUAUUUCCCAGAAAUUGGGGUCAAACCCAACUCCAGAGUCACUUGUUCCAUAUACCCUGUAAAAGCAUGACAUCAAACAAUAGCAUCGUCGAACAUAACAAGUAUUCCGAUCUGGACACUGCAACCCUACACGCAGAUCGGAAUACUACACAUUUAAUCCCACUGCCCAACUUCUGAUGCCAAAAUCAUAUCUAAACACCCUUCCAACUAGAGCUCUGGAGAUAUCUGGCACAACCAAUCACAGAUACUAUAAAUUAUCACCAGCCAACCAAUGAGAGCACCAGCAGUUCUGACAGCUAGGACAAGAUGAAAGUCGAGUAAAAUGGUGAGUGCACCGUAUGUUUAUUCCACCACCUCCUCCAAAUGUAAGCCCGAAACCAAUAGUUGCUCUUAUUAAAACAUUCUACCUCCAACCCAUGUAACCAGACAAGGGGAUUUACUUAGGAAUUUCUCACCAUACAGAUGUUUCACUAUUUGUCUUCACCUGGAAGGAGAACUCAGCGAAAUUUGUUCAGUAGCAAGCCCCCGUCAAGGAGCCACAGCCACCCAUGCUCCAACAAAAACUUAAAAUUUGAAAUUUGACAAAGGAUUCAAAGUUGGAGUUCAUAUUUGGUAGCAAGAGGACGCAGUACAUUCAACGAAGUCAUUUUCAGAACCAUCUAUGCUUUUAUACUCAUCUCACACAAUAUAUCGACCACCCCAGAUGGACUUUCCAUGAUAUUGCUCAGACAUUGGAGUAAAUUGCUGAUUUCCAUUCAAGAGUUGUUGCUGCAGCUGCUCUUGCUGUAAUCUUAGAUGCUCAAAGGCAUGGUAAUUCUGCCAGCCUUUCUGUUUUUCAGUCUGGAAUUGGCCUGAUGACACCUGUUUUCCAGGAAAAGGGAAGCUAACUGUCCCAGUAAAGCCAUUACUGCUAUUGAUACACUGAUGCAUUGCUUGAGAAGUUAUAGUAGUGGCAUUACUGAACCCAGACCCCCUUGUUGACGAUGGCAACUGAUAACCAUCCAACCAACUAUAAUCAUCUGUCAAUGAAUUCUCAGUCAUCAAAUCUGAGCCAGAAACAGCNNNNNACUUGUUUAAGAGGAACAUGACUAAAGCCUGGAGGAGGCCCAAGGUGCCUUACAGGUCGACUGACUGGAGUUUUCCUCAAGCCUGCUGGCAAAGCUGCUGAUGUCUUCACAGACAAACUUUCAGUGAUAACAUCAACCUUUGAUGGAAUCACAGCUUCUGGCACUUUUGCCUGAUUGUAGAAAAUACUAGUAUUAACAUUUGCAGGUUGGAUGGGAAGUGAAUGUGCAGCAGGAUGGCCUAUGCCUAAAUCUUUUGGCAACUCAUGCUCUGUUACAUGCCCAUUCUCUGUGAACCUAAUAGNNNNNNNNNNNNAGCUAUUUGCAAGCGAAGCAGCUUCUUCCAUUAACCACUUUGAGGCAGGCGGUUGAAUAGGUUGUAGAUGCUGGGAAACAUUAAUGCCAGAGGAUGCAGAUAUUUGAGAACCUGCAUCAAAAGCAGAAUGCUGCAGCAGAUCAAGAGGAGAUGAAACAGAACCACCAUAAAAUUUCAGAUCAGCAGAUACAUCUUGAUUCUGUUUCAUGCCAUCAUAGGGGACCCAUUUUGGACUAAGCCCUUCAUUUCGCUUCUCUGUUGCUGCAGGCCUGAAAACAAUUACUUCAUCCUCCUCGUCCCCUUCUAUAUAUGGCUGUGCAUUAGGCUUCAAAACUCCCACAUUAAUGGUUUUCUGAGGCUGAAUUUCUUGCACCACAUCACCAGUUUUUGGCAGACCAGACUCAAAAGUCAACAUGCCGCCAUCUGAAAUUUGAGGCUCCACACCUAUGACAAAUUUCUUCAUCCUUGAAUCAUAAAAUACUGUUUUUUGAUCAAUCCUAGCUAUAUUUG